CAACGAAUAUUCACAAAAUAUCCUCAUAGUAAUCAAUAAAAAAUUAAUUUUAGAUGUAAGAGCAUCAGAUGGUGCAGGGAUUAGGUGUUGGUCUGAUCUCAAAAUAUUCUCUCCUCCUCAAACUCUCCUUCAAAACCUCUCUGAAUCUAAUUGUUUCUCUUUGAUGGAUGUUAAUGGUCUUGUUUGUUUUUGGUGAAAAGCUUUUCUCUUCCCUGUCGACCGUGAGUUGUUAAGGCUGUGCAUGUUUCAUCUCUAAGAGACUCUGGAAAGUUUCCAAGGUUUUUCUUUCUUUACUUCCACUUCCACUUCCACUUAAAUUCUAUUAUUUUUCUUCACUGUCGACUGAUCUCAACUUACUGUCUUCAGUUUUAUUAUAAAUCUCUGUGUUCCACUGUUGCUUACCAGAAAAAAAAAAAAAAAAAAAAUCCCUGUAUUCUCUUUUGAUUUUAGGAAACUUUGUGAUCUUCUCCUCUGCAACUCUAUUUUAUUAACUCUGUGUUGAACAAUUACCAAAUCAGUAUUCUCUGCAUUCUGUUUUCAUUUUACUAGGCUCACUUUCAUCUUUGCAAUUUCUGUUUUACGACACAAGUUCUCUUUGUCCAAUUAUAUUGUAAUUCUCUAUAUUCAACCUAGCUUGUCAAAACGAAAAAAAAAAUCUUUAGAUCCCCUCUUGCAAAGUGUUCCUUUGAUAUCUUCAUAUCCUCUACAAAAUUGUAUUUCUCUUUGUUCAACUGUUACUUACCAGGAUAAAGAAAUCUCUGUAUAUCUUCUUUUGUUUUAGAAAUCUUUGUAAUCUCUUCCUCUGCCACUCUAUUUUAACUUUGUGUUCAACAAUUACCAUUCUGUUUUCAGUAGUUGUUUGUUUUCUUCUAGUUUUACAUAUUGCAUUGCAGAAAAAGGGACGGAAAGAAGAAGAAGAAGAAAAGAAACAGAGAGAGAGGUACAUAACUGAAAUAGAAUUGAGAAAUGGCUACUGGUUGGGUUGGUUUUGUUGGUCCGAUUGUAGGCAAGAUUGGAGAAUUUCUAAUGGCUCCAGUUGGCCGUCAUUUUGGUUAUCUAUUUUCCUAUAAAAGCGAGGUCAAGAAUCUGAAAGAAGAAGUCGAGAAGUUGGAUGAGAAAAGAGGUGCAAUGCAGCUAUCAGUCGAUGAAGCAGAAAGAAAUGUAAAAGUUAUUGGACCUGAUGUUAAGGGGUGGCUGGAAAGGGUUGAUAAAUGCAGCGAAGAGGCCAGAGAAAUUCUAAAAGAUGAAGUUGAAGCAAACAAAGGGUGUCUAUAUGGGUGGUGUCCAAACCUGAAGUUACGUUACUCGCUCGGUAAGAAAGCAACCAACAAGGCAAAAGAGGUGGCUAAGUUGCACGAAGAGAGGAAACUGACAGAAGUGGCCUACAAGGAGCCUCCACCAGGGAUAGAAUCCACAUCCACUGAAGGUAUUAAGGUUUUUGAAUCUAGAAGAUUGAUUAUGAACGAUGUCAUGGGGGCACUGAAGUAUGAUGGAUUCCACAUGAUUGCCAUAUGUGGGAUGGGAGGUGUUGGUAAGACAACAAUGGUGAAAGAAGUUGCCAAAAGAGCAAAAGAAGAGAAAUUGUUCGAUGACGUUGUGAUGGCUGUAGUGUCCCAAAGUCCUAAUGAAAGGAAGAUUCAAGGUGAAAUUGGAGAUAAAUUGGGUUUGGAAUAUGGGGAGGAGACUGAACGUGGAAGAGCAAAUCGACUGCGUGAAAGACUAAGGCGCACCAAGAGAAUCCUUGUCAUAUUGGACGAUGUUUGGGAGCGUCUCGAACUGAAUGACAUAGGAAUUCCAUUUGGAUAUGAUCAUAGAGGUUGCAAAAUUUUGCUAACUUCUAGAUUUGAUAAUGUAUGCAAUGAUAUGGAUGCUCAAAAGAAAUUUACAGUUGAAGUCUUAACUGAAGAAGAAGCAUGGAAUCUCUUUGAGGAGAUGGCUGGAAUUUCCAAUGACACAAGUCACACAAGUACUGAUUUGUAUAUCACACAGAAGAAAGUUGCAGAUGAAUGCGGAUGUUUGCCGAUUGCUAUUGUUACAGUUGCGAGGGCACUCAAAGAUAAAGAUAGGCAUUCAUGGAAUUCAGCCCUUCUACAGUUACGCAAGUCCAUGGUAAAAAACAUCAGGGGAGUAGAAGAAAAGGUGUUCAAAUCUCUGGAGUUGAGUUACAACUUCUUAGGAAGUAGAGAAAUUAAGGAAUGCUUUUUGCUUUGCUCCUUAUAUGCAGAAGAUUUUAAUAUUCCAAUUGAAGAUCUUGUUAGAUAUGGAGUUGGGAUAGAGUUGUUUGAGGCCAUUGAUAGCGUCAAGGAAGCAAGAGACAGAGUACAUGCCUUUGUCGAUGAGUUAAAAAAAAGCUAUCUCUUGAUGGAUGGUGAAGGAGGAGGUUGUGUUAAAAUGCAUGAUGUAGUUCGUGAUGUUACUAUAUCAAUAGCAUCUAGGGAGGAGCAUUCAUUUAUGGUAAGAUGUGACGAAACAUUGAAAGAAUGGCCGGAGAAAGAACGACACAAAAAUCACGCUGUAAUUUCAUUGCGAUGCACUGGUAUGAGCCAGCUGCCUGAUAAUCUAGAAUUUCCAAGACUCCAUCUUUUGCGGCUGGAGGGCAGUUAUGCAUCAAAACUUCCUGAUAGUUUCUACGGAGGGAUGAAGGAACUCAAAGCUUUAAGCAUGUUGAAUGUGUACUUACAAGGAUCAUUGCUGACAUCCCUGCGAUGGUUGACCAACCUCCGAAGCUUGUCACUAUACGAAUGCAGACUGAUCAAUGAUGUAUCUGUAAUAGGAGCAUUAGAGAAUCUAGAAAUUUUGAGUUUGGAACGCACCAAAAUCGAGGAGUUGCCAAAAGAAAUAGGUCGGCUUAGUCACUUGAAGCUACUGGAUUUGUUGCGAUGUGGUGUGAAGAGGAUUUGCCCAGGUGUUUUGUCGAGCUUAUCAAAGCUAGAAGAGUUGUAUCUUGGGUCUAGCUUUAAUGAUGAAAACAGGAUAGAAGAAGCUAAAGCGACUUUGACUGAGCUGUGUGGGUUGUCAAAUUUUACAACUUUGGUCAUUCACCUACGACAUUUUGCAUACUGGCCAAGAGACUUGGUCCUUACGAAUCUAAGAGCAUUCGCUAUAACCAUUAGCCCUAUGAUCAGUACUAGAGAUUGUCGUGAUUAUCAGUUACAAAACCAGUUGAGUCUCGAGGAUCUUCACGAGAGCGAUAUUAUGGAGAGUGAGUUCAAGAAACUUCUCAAGAUCACUAAAAUUUUAGAAAUAACACGAGCAGUAGGUGUGAAGAAUGUUGGCUAUGAUUUAGACAAAGAUGGUUUCAAAAAAUUAAUAGAAUUGUCCUUGGACGAUUGUCAGGAUCUGGAAUAUGUCAUUGACACAACAGAUGGGGUUCCAGUUCCACAAAUAGCCUUCCCUGUGUUGCAGUCGCUAUAUCUCAAUAAUUUAGAUAAAUUGAAAGAGAUUUGUCAUGGCCAUUUGUGGAAGGGUCCUACUCAACUUGUACGGCUCCGCAACCUGACUUCUCUAGGACUGAAGAGAUGUCAUAAACUGGAAAGCAUGUUCUCAUUAUCCAUAGCCAGAGAUCUGAUGCAACUCCAGAAACUUCAUGUAUCUGAAUGUCGUAAGAUGGAAGUACUUAUUUCGAGUGAAGAAGGAGAUCAAAAUGAGAUAGCAUCAACAACAACAGAAACAACAGAUAAAAUUGUGUUUCCUAAACUAAAGGUUUUGUAUCUUCGAGACCUGGCAAGUUUUACUGCUCUCUGUAAGGCUGUGAAUGGAAUUGAGCUGCUGCAAUUGAACGAGCUGACACUCAGCCAGAUGCCAAAGCUCAAUAGUUUUUGCAAUACUUCGGAUAGCAAUUACGAUACUAUUCAACCUCUCUUCAAUAAGGUGGCCUUCAGUGCAUUGAAAAGGCUAGAACUACGGGACUUGCCAGCAGUGACACAUUUGUGGAAGGGUCCUACUCAACUUGUAUGGCUCCGCAACCUCACUUCUCUAGAACUGAAGAGAUGUGAUAAACUGAAAAGCAUGUUCUCAUUAUCCAUAGCCAGAGAUCUGAUGCAACUACAGAUACUUAAUGUAUCUGAUUGUCGUAAGAUGGAAGUACUUAUUUCAAGUGAAGAAGAAGGUGAUCAAAAUGAGAUAGCAUCAACAACAACAGAAACAACAGAUAAAAUUGUGCUUCCUAAACUAAUGGAAUUGUGUCUUGGAGUCUUGCCAAGUUUUACUGCUAUCUGCAAGGCUAUGAAUGGAAUUGAGCUGUUGCAAUUGAACAUGCUGACACUCAGGCUGAUGCCAAAGCUCAAUAGUUUUUGCAAUACUUCAGAUAGCAAUUACGAAACUAUUCAACCUCUCUUCAAUAAGGUGGCCUUCAGUGCGUUGAAAAGUCUAGAACUACGGGACUUGCCUGCAGUGACACAUUUGUGGAAGGGUCCUACGCAACUUGUACGGCUCCGCAACCUCACUUCUCUAAUAUUGACUAAUUGUGAUGAACUGGAAAGCUUGUUCUCAUUAUCCAUAGCUAGAGAUCUGAUGCCACUACAGAAACUUUAUGUAUCUAAUUGUCGUAAGAUGGAAGUACUUAUUUCGAGUGAAGAAGAAGGAGAUCAAAAUGAGAUAGCAUCAACAACAACAGAAACAACAGAUAAAAUUGUGUUCCCUAAACUAAAGGAAUUGUAUCUUGCAUGCCUGCCAAGUUUUACUGCUCUGUGCAAGGCUAUGAAUGGAAUUGAGCUGCUGCAAUUGAACAAGCUGAAACUCUGGGGGAUACCAAAGCUCAAUAGUUUUUGCAAUACUUCGGAUAGCAGUUACCAUACUAUUCAACCUCUCUUCAAUGAGGGGGCCUUUAGUGCAUUGGAAAGGCUAGAACUACGGGACUUGCCUGCAGUGACACAUUUGUGGAAGGGUCCUACUCAACUUGUACAGCUCCGCAACCUCACUUCUCUAGAACUGAAGAGAUGUGAUAAACAAGAAAGCAUGUUCUCAUUAUCCAUAGCCAGAGAUCUGAUUCAACUACAAACACUUAAUGUAUCUGAUUGUCUUAAGAUGGAAGUACUUAUUUUGAGUGACGAAGAAGGAGAUCAAAAUGAGAUAGCAUCAACAACAAUAGAAACAACAGAUAAAAUUGUGUUUCCUAAACUAAAGGAAUUGUAUCUUGGAGGCCUGCCAAGUUUUACUGCUAUCUGCAAGGCUAUGAAUGGAAUUGAGCUGCUGCAAUUGGACGUGCUGACACUCAGGUUGAUGCCAAAGCUCAAUAGUUUUUGCAAUACUUCGGAUAGCAAUUACCAUACUAUUCAACCUCUCUUCAAUAAGGUGGCCUUCAGUGCAUUGAAAAGGCUAGAACUACGGGACUUGCCUGCAGUGACACAUUUGUGGAAGGGUCCUACUCAACUUGUACAGCUCCGCAACCUCACUUCUCUAGAACUGAAGAGAUGUGAUAAACUGGAAAGCAUGUUCUCAUUAUCCAUAGCCAGAGAUCUGAUGCAACUACAGAUACUUAAUGUAUCUGAUUGUCGUAAGGAGGAAGUACUUAUUUCGAGUGAAGAAGACGGAGAUCAAAAUGAGAUAGCAUCAAUAACAACAGAAACAAUAGAUGAAAUUGUGCUUCCUAAACUAAUGGAAUUAUGUCUUGGAGGCCUGCCAAGUUUUAUUGCUAUCUGUAAGGAAAUAAAUGAAAUUGAGCUACUGCAAUUGAACAAGCUGUAUCUCUGGGGGAUACCAAAGCUCAAUAGUUUUUGCAAUACUUCGGAUAGAAAUUACAAUACUAUUCAACCUCUCUUCAAUAAGGUUAAAUUAAUUACCAUUGAGAAAUUGGCGAUCGUUGGAAUGGAUAACGUGAUAGAGAUAUGGCCUAGGGAACUUCAACUUAAAGUGGGCAACAUGAUUAUUUGGCAGUGUCGUAAGCUAUCGCAUAUUCUUUUUCCAUCCAAUGUGAUUGAGGGCAUGCAGAGUGUUGAACGACUUAUGGUGGGGUGGUGUCAAUCUGUGGAAGUAGCAUUUGAUCUUGAAGGAAUAAUUGUUAGGGAAGGCUAUCUAGAUAUCGUACUCCCUUCAUUAACAAAAUUGGUCCUACUUUAUCUACCAAAGUUGACACAUGUUUGGAAGAACAACUUACUAAGAAUUCCAAGCUUUCAGAACCUGACAUCAUUGACAGUAGUGGGUUGUAGCAGCUUGAGAUAUAUAUUCUCAUCUUCUCAUGCCAGACUUCUUGGGAAACUACAAGAAAUAACUGUGACUGAAUGUGGUGUGUUGGAAGCGAUUGUUAAUGAGGAACCAAAAGUAGAUGAUGAAGUCGUAACAAAUAUAAUCAUGUUCCCUCGACUAAAUAGUCUCAAACUCUGUCAUCUGCCAAACCUCAAGAGUUUAUGUCCCCAAGCUUACACAUUUGAAGGAUCGUUCUUCAAGAAGAUAAAAGUAAUCAACUGUCCCAACAUGAGGGCAUUUCCUUCAGCAUUGCAACGCAUGCUAGAGCUACAAGAGAGCAAUGUUCGAGAAGUGGAAUUUUUUAACUCAGCUCAACACCAUCUCUCGGAUAGAAAGUUUAGUUUAAGCACCAAGGGCAUACUUGAUGUCACAGGAAUAGAUGAGCCAACUGAGAUAUGGCACAACCAACUUGAAGUCGGAUGCCUUGACAAAGUAAGAUUCAUGCGGGUCCAGUGUUGUGAAAAAUUAUCAAGUGUUGUCUCAUCCAAGUUAAUGCAAAGGCUGCACAAUAUACAAGGGCUAAAAGUAUGGUGGUGUGAUUCACUGGAAAUGAUAUUUGAUCUCCAAGAGGGUGUAUGUGCUGAUGUUGCUGAGAAAGAAACAUUAAUCACUCAGUUAAGCGAAUUGAAAUUGAAGUAUUUGCCCAAGUUGACGCACAUAUGGAAGAAUAUUUCCCAACAAACUCAUUGUUUCGAAAAUCUAAGAUUUCUGGCAGUGGAGCACUGUGACAACCUGAGAUAUAUAUUCACAAUUUCCAUGGCCAACGUCCUUGUGAAUCUAGAAGAUCUAACAGUUGAACAUUGCGAGAAGGUAGAUAAGAUUGUCACCAGGGAAAACGAAGAAGAAAUCUUUUCGCGAGAAAUUAACUUUGUCAACCUUUCAAAUCUUCCAAGUCUCGUGUGUUUUGGCCCGGAUGUAAAUAAUACUAAAAUUCCAGCAAGAACAUCCGAUGUAAGCUUCUGCCCCAAAUUUCCAGGCAAUGAGGAUGGAGUUGACUCUGAGGAUCUUGAGUUUCACAUUGCCUUUUCACCUUCGCUCUGACAACUUUGACGACGAUGACAAUUAACAAUGUUGUCAGGUACUAUUCCCUUCCAGCUAGCGCCUGGAGAAUUGGCUGCGCUGAGAAUCAGAGGUACCAUUUCCUUCCAGCUAGCACCUAGAGAAUUGGCUAUGUGUGCUGCACUAAGAAUCAAAGGUACCAUUUCCUUACAGCUAGCGCAUGGAAAAUUAGCAGAGGUGAAUAUCGAGAUGUGCUACAAGAUCGUGGAUCUUUCUUAAUUGUUGGUCACGGGACCUUUUUAUGUAUAGGCGGUAUGCCAUUAAUGUAAAAGGGUUAAACCCUUCCUCUUAAUUUAAAUGAUGUAAGCCUGCGGGCACUUUAUUUAGUU
Camellia sinensis is the source of this 7571-nucleotide non-coding RNA. The record is from RefSeq and is a predicted model, not a curated record. NCBI's taxonomy places the organism in Eukaryota, Viridiplantae, Streptophyta, Magnoliopsida, Ericales, Theaceae.